CAGGUACAUAAAGACAGGUAUAUAAUAAUGACAGGUACAUAAAGACAGGUAUAUAAUAAUGACAGGUACAUAAAGACAGGUAUAUAAUAAUGACAGGUACAUAAAGACAGGUAUAUAAUAAUGACAGGUACAUAAAGACAGGUAUAUAAUAAUGACAGGUACAUAAAGACAGGUAUAUAAUAAUGACAGGUACAUAAAGACAGGUAUAUAAUAAUGACAGGUACAUAAAGACAGGUAUAUAAUAAUGACAGGUACAUAAAGACAGGUAUAUAAUAAUGACAGGUACAU
Molecule: long non-coding RNA, 288 nt
Organism: Coregonus clupeaformis (lake whitefish)
Lineage: Eukaryota; Metazoa; Chordata; Actinopteri; Salmoniformes; Salmonidae
Exons: 4
Source: RefSeq, a predicted model, not a curated record